Solanum tuberosum (potato) is the source of this 569-nucleotide long non-coding RNA. RefSeq lists it as uncharacterized. The record is from RefSeq and is a predicted model, not a curated record. Lineage: Eukaryota; Viridiplantae; Streptophyta; Magnoliopsida; Solanales; Solanaceae. The transcript has 3 exons.
UUCAUAUAUCAUCACUAAAAAUUGAGGUUUUGUCCCAACAUAACAUAACAUUGUACCUUUAUUUCAUGUCAGGACAGCAGGUAUGCAUGGUGAUGCGGGUUAAUCUAGAUUGCCCUUGUUGUUGCAAGAAAAUGAGAAGAAUCAUUCUGCGAAUGAAAGAAAUAGAGAUGCAUCUGAUUGAGAAGCAAGAGAAGAGAAUAAGCAUAAUGGGGCGGUUUGAUCCGGCAGAUAUAGCCAUAAGAAUCAGGAAAAAAAUGAACCGGAGAGUAGAGAUUUUGGACAUUCAAUUACCCCAACAGCCUGACGAGAUGCAUCAUGCCCCCAUUAUGCAACACACAUAAACUACCUUAGCUUCUUUUCCCCUAAUAUUGGGAUGCAUGCUCUCAUAUUCAAAACAAACUCGUGCAAGAUUAAUAAAAAAGUCUAAUACUCGAUCAACAAUGGAGUUUAGAUUGUGCGAAGAACUUCUUGAGUUUACAUUUGAAUGAAGAAAAUAAUCUAAUUUGCAGUUACAUUUCAAAUAGUGAUAUCAUUAACAAGACAGCACAAAGUGGCCGUUAGUUGUUGCA